RNAcentral lists this long non-coding RNA (256 nucleotides) under Mustela putorius furo (domestic ferret). RNAcentral describes it as "lncRNA (ENSMPUG00000028944.1)". Lineage: Eukaryota; Metazoa; Chordata; Mammalia; Carnivora; Mustelidae. The record is from RNAcentral.
AAAGAACUGUAAUUCCUUGCAGUAUCUCUCCUGUAAAUGAGACAUACACAAAUUUCUCUUGGCACACAGGUGGAGAAACGGAUUUUUCUGAGGAUGUUGGAAAGGGUUGCAGAAGAAAAGUUUAAGGAUGAGUUGAUUUCCCAGGAUAAGAAAACCUGAGUUGCUCCCUGGAACAUUAUUUCAUGAUUUAUGGUAAGUUUUGGACUCCUAGUACAUUGUUACCUUCCAUCUCGAAAUCAAAACAAAGGAGAUAAGA